GUCUGUCUAGCUCAGUUGGUAUAGUGUAGGACUCUUAACCUUGUGGUCAUGGGUUGAAGCCCCAUGAUGGGCG
Molecule: transfer RNA, 73 nt
Filed under: Zea mays
Lineage: Eukaryota; Viridiplantae; Streptophyta; Magnoliopsida; Poales; Poaceae
Rfam family: tRNA
About the family: Transfer RNA (tRNA) molecules are approximately 80 nucleotides in length. Their secondary structure includes four short double-helical elements and three loops (D, anti-codon, and T loops). Further hydrogen bonds mediate the characteristic L-shaped molecular structure. tRNAs have two regions of fundamental functional importance: the anti-codon, which is responsible for specific mRNA codon recognition, and the 3' end, to which the tRNAs corresponding amino acid is attached (by aminoacyl-tRNA synthetases). tRNAs cope with the degeneracy of the genetic code in two manners: having more than one tRNA (with a specific anti-codon) for a particular amino acid; and 'wobble' base-pairing, i.e. permitting non-standard base-pairing at the 3rd anti-codon position.
Source: Rfam by way of RNAcentral